CCUACGGGAGACAGCAGUGAGGAAUAUUGGUCAAUGGGCUUACGCCUGAACCAGCCAAGCCGCGUGAGGGAAGACUGCCCUAUGGGUUGUAAACCUCUUUUGUCGGGGAGCAAUUGGCGCUACGUGUAUCGUUCUCUCGAGUACCUUAAGACCAAGCAUCGGCUGCCUCCGUGCCGGCAGCCGCGGUAUUCCGGAGGAUUCGAGGGUUAUCCGGCUUUAUUGGGUUUAAAGGUUUCUUAGGCGGAAUGCCAAGUCAGCGGGAAAAUCGCGGGUCUCACCCGCGCUCCGCCGUUGAAACUGGUGUGCUUGAGUGGGGGAGAAGUAAGCGGAAUGCGUGGUGUAGCGGUGAAAUGCAUAGAUAUCACGCAGAACUCCGAUUGCGAAGGCAGCAUACCGGAGCGCAACUGACGCUGAAGCACGAAAGCGUGGGGAUCGAACAGGAUUAGAUACCCUGGUAGUU
Molecule: ribosomal RNA, 460 nt
Filed under: uncultured bacterium
Lineage: Bacteria
Description: partial 16S ribosomal RNA
Rfam family: Bacterial small subunit ribosomal RNA
Source: RNAcentral